AGGGGUUUAUAUGUGGACUGAUUGCAGCAAUGCGAGAAAGAGAGAGAAGACAAUGUCCUACCGAAGACUAACAUCUUCACGGUCUUGCAGCAAUAGACGAGAGUAGAGCAAGGUAACACAAAUAUUAGUCAUAUUGCUGCAGCAAAUAAUUUGAGGUCACGCCCAGAGAUCCUUCCUCGACUCCCUGCGAGGAAGCAAUCCCGGGGCAACUAUUUCCAGUUAAGUAACAGCUGAAGUUGUAUAAGAUCAGGGCACAACUCCAAGUC
RNAcentral lists this long non-coding RNA (266 nucleotides) under Hordeum vulgare. RNAcentral describes it as "long non-coding RNA (HVUL_LNC009878)". The record is from RNAcentral. Lineage: Eukaryota; Viridiplantae; Streptophyta; Magnoliopsida; Poales; Poaceae.